GCCUGGCUGGAUCAGUCAGUAGAGCAUGAGACUCUUAAUUUUAGGGACGUGGGUUUGAGCCCCACGUUUGGCG
This is a non-coding RNA of Danionella cerebrum, 73 nucleotides long. The record is from the annotation of a GenBank genome assembly. NCBI's taxonomy places the organism in Eukaryota, Metazoa, Chordata, Actinopteri, Cypriniformes, Danionidae.